AGUGUUCAUGGACGUUCGGAUUUGGAGUUAUUACAAAUCAGACUUUCAAAUGUUUAUUUAUUAUUUUUAAAUGUUUAUUAUUUCUUUUAUGUGUAUGGUUGUUUUUGUCUGCCUGUAUGUCCUGCACCAUGUGUACCUGAUGGCCUAAAAGACCAUAAAAAGACUCCGGAUGCCCUAGGACUAGAGUUACAGAUGGUUGUGUCACAUGGGUGCUAGGAACAGAAACUGGGUCAUCUACAAAAGCAAACUGUGUUCUUAACCCACCUCUCCUUCUCUCAAACCCUUAUGUAUUGAGACGGGAUCUCACAGGCUGAUCUCAGCUCCAAAUGUAACCAAGGAUGACCUUGACUCCUGAUUCUCCUUCUACUUCCUCAGAAUUGGGAUUACAGGCAUGUGUCACCCCACUGUGCUACAAAGUGAGACUUUUAUAGACAGUCAUAUACAUGUCUUCAUAUGGACAUGCACUUUUGUUUCUCUUUUAUAAAUGUAUAUAUAGUAGCAGGCCUGGGGCAUAGGGAAAGUGCUGGUUUAAGAAGUUGCUAAAUAGGGGCUCACAGAGAUGGCCCUGCAGCUGAGAGUGCUUCUUGCUCUUCCCUGGGACCUGAGUUUGGUCCCCAAGCUCUCAAGUAUGGUGAAUCCCUGUUGCUUCUAAUGCCAGUAUCAGGAAAAUCUGGUCAGCUAGGGCAGCUGUACUCACAUGAGCAUUCACACACACACACACACACACACACACACACACACACACACACACACACACACACACACACACACACACACAGUCACACAGACAGGCUCCUAAAAAUAAGUCUUUAAAAAAAAACUUUUAAAAGGUGUCAAGUGUUUCCUAAUCUGUCAGGCCAUCUCACGUUCCUCUGGUAGGUUACUCUAGCUUACCUGCCCCGAAUCUUUCUCGGUAUUUAACACGACCAGUUGUGGAUAUUUAACAGGAAUCUCUGUGAUAUUUCCCAGAAAAAUAGCCGGGCUUUCUUACUUAUUGCCAACAUAGACCGUCUCUCUGGAGAAACCUUGGUGCACAUAUAUUUUCUGUGGUGCUCUGUCUGUCUCCUUUGCAUUGCUCACUGCCAAGUUCUUGCAUGGUUUGGGGACUUAGACUUGACAAGAAUGGUGAAGGAUGGAAGACAGACAGAUGGGCACAUGGACAGAAAGCUGUGAUAAUGUGGUCCAGACUCACUGCUGGAGAAACCUCAGCACCCUGGAAGCUCAGUGUGUUCAGUAUAGAGUUGAAGAGAGGCAGGGUGACUGCAUUCAGCUGAACAAGGACUGGGCUAUUGUACACAGAUCAAGGUAGCAUGGUUUCUGGGUCAUGGCUGUAUCAAGCAGACAGGUUUAGCUAGUCUUGGUAGGAGUACUCUCUGUAGGGGAGCAGUCUUCCGGCUACAAAUAUCCAGGGCAGAACAUUAUGGUGGACGUUUUCUGAGCAAUUCUUUUUCUCCAUGCCCACCAAAAGGCUGGUUAGUGACCAUUUCACUGACAGGAGUGAGUUCCAGUCAGGACCUGUCUCUGAUUAUGGCUCUCUAGAGUGGGAAGGUCAGAGCCAUAAGCUUCUUCUCAGAACUGUGACAGACAGAUCCCCUCCACCUAGUGAACACUGAAUUACAGCCUGCAGUCCUCCACACCUGCAGGCCCUCCCUUCUGCUUCAAAUAGAUCUUAAAACAGCAAGAUAAGAGGAACAGCCAGCUGCAUCUAAUGCUUAAACAUUCUAGGUCAUUUUCUGUCUCUGAUGACAUUUCACUUGACCGUAGCACUGCACUUUUUAUUUGUAUGGUGCUCAUGUGCGAUAGUCAACUGGUCAACAUCAAUAGCACAAGAAAUCUGAAUGGAGGAAAAUGUUAAUGAGUUAACUCCUGCAUUAAUAUCCUAUAGGAUGGUAUAUAGGGAGUUUCUUCAUCAAUGACUACUAUGGGAGCAUGGUGUCCCAUCUGGAGAUGUGCCAAUAGAAGGCAUCAUUAUCUGAGCAGGAAAGUCAGGUCAGCAUGCCAGUCAGCAGCUCUCCUCUGCCACUCUGCCAGCUCUCUUUCACUCCCUGCCUACAGGAUCAUGCCUCGUCUGAGUUUCUGCCUUGACUUCUCGUCAUAGAUGGACAAUGGUCAGGAAAUAGGAGCCACAUUAAAUCUUGACAAUGGUCAGGAUAUAGGAGCCACAUUAAAUCAUUUGUGCUCCUUGUUGCUUUUGGUCAUAGUGUCUGUCAAAUCAAUGCAAAGUAACUUAUGCCAGACACACAUUUUUGUACACUGGUCCACAUCAGGCAGUGGUUGUUUUGUGGCAGAGCAAGAAGGAAGGGAGGCUGAUAGACCCUCCCCCCACUUUUAGAAAGGGUAUUGUUGGGCAGAACCUUGGGGGAUGGGCAAGCCUAACUGUCAGAAACUGUAGUUUAACUUACAUUGCCUACUUUACUGCCAGAGAUGAGGUACUCAGAUACUCUGCCUUUAUCUCCACAAGAGGUUUCUCACUUUGGAGCAUGGAGGUCCCAAGUCAGGGUUUCUCUGUGUAGCCCUGACUAUCCUGGAAUUCCCUCAGUACACCAGGCUGGCAAGUAACUCAUGGAUCCACCUGCCUAUGUUGCUGGAAGUAAAGGUGUGCACCUCCACCACAAGGCUUCCUCAAGGCAUUUGCAAUCAUUCAACUACCAAAUGUGGAGGGUCUAGUGACCAUCCCCAGGCACCAGGCACAGGGAUAGCAGCUAAUGGGAAGCAGGCCCAGUAGCCCAAGGGAACAAAGUUCAGAGGGGCAGGAGGAAUACAUUUAGACACUCUACACAGCGGGGUGAUGGUCUUUCUACAGCAAUCUCCCCUAAGGUGUUCAGAGCAAAGGAUUCUUUUGCCCGUAGCACAUUAAAUAGGCAGCACAGAUAGCCAUAACCCCCUUGGUUUGAGGGAAGUGGGAAGGGAAUCAGCCAUGUUUGGAUUCCUUUUGGAGUUAAAUCCUAAAAGCACAGAUAGACAUAACCCCCUUGGUUUGAGGGAAGUGGGAAGGGAAUCAACCAUGUUUGGAUUCUUUUUGGAGUUAAAUCCUAAUGGCUCCAUAUUCUGUGUGCAGGCCCCAGCCUAUUGGCCUCCACAGUUGAACAGUGAAGAGGCAGGAAGGACUGAGGCUGCAGUUGACCUGGCCCAUGAUGAAGGUCCUGCACUGGAUAACAGUCACUGAGAAUAACUUGGGAAGGAAUAUGAAGGUGUCCUGAGGAGGCAGAUCUAGGAGUGCACUUGACCUUUCUAGAAGGCCGUCAACAAAACUGAAACAGGACUCUGAAGACAUUCCUGUCUCCUAUGAUUUAGAUGAUGGAAACUGAGUGUACCAAAUAAUGAAAUUUCACUAGGAGCCUGGACAGAAGGUGGCCUCUAUGCCAGGUGUCAACACGCCAGUCACAGACAACACACAGGGGAAACAACAUCAGGCCUUUGGCAUCAGACACUAGAAAGUACUGCUGUAAGGUCUAGUGAAAGAACGCUAGAAUAGGUGUACUGUCCUAUCGUCCAGAAUUACAGGUGUGAGUGAGACAUUUAUAGUGACCAUAGUUUUAGUUGCUGCAUAGCUCCAUGGCUCUGAGAAUGUGAUACCUCUGUCCAAGGGAGGACUGACCUAGCUGAAUCCAACAGCGAACACACUCUGCUGUAUGGGAGGCCAUAUGCAAGCACAGACCUAGGACAAUUACACUGACCUCAGAGGGUUAGGGAAAGAUAGCACAGUCCUCAGGACAGCAGGAUCAACAUACCUCCAGGUACAAGGAAGACAUUUAGGAUGUCUGUUCUGUGAAUAUGAAUUUGAUGCUGGCGUCUUGGUAGUCCUUAAUAAAACUAAAAUUCUGUCUUAUUUGGCCCUCUCCAAGUAUCCAGAACUGCCUUUUUCCUGUACCAUGCAUGGGUCAUAAAAAUCCACCCUUCCUGGAGGCAGAGGCUUACAACCAGACCCCAAAAAUGUGUGAAACCUUCUGGGGGCUGUGAUGCUGGUGGUAUCCUAAGUCUGCUGGGCCUAUAGAGGCAGGGAGGAGUAUCUCAAGAAAUGAGAGGAAGGUGGGUUUUCCUAAUGGGCUUUUGCUUCCAAAGAAUGUGGUGAGGAUCUGUUACAUCUAAAGAGAAAUAGGUUUCUCAUCAUGAGUUCCAUGAUAGGUUUCUCCGUCAGGAGAACAAUUAAUCAUCAAGGCAGGAUGCUUCCCAUUUGGAAGAAGAGAGAGAGAAAGACUUUAAACAUCCUCUGGGACUUCUCCUAUAACUUUCCAAAAGUACUUUCUAUAAAGGGAUAUGGCAAUGCCACUGAAGGAAUGAGAGAGCACUGACUUAGGGUCAGACCUCCAGUUCAUCAUAUGUCCCACAGCAAAAAUUCAUUCAUUCAUUCAUUCAGUUAGUCAUUCUCUUCCUGUUUCUCUCACACCUUUGUCCUUCCCUCUUCACUGAAGUAAAAUGUGCCUACAAUGUCCCUAGUGUCCCCUACCCACGAACCAGUUUUCCAAAUAACACAGUUUGUGCUUUCAGCCUACAAUAGCAGGAUUCUUUUGGAUUUAGUUCUUUGACCUCAAUUCUGUGUGUCAUGGCAGUCACAGAAACGUUGGCAGACUGCUGCCUCCCAGAGCACCCAACUGACAUGCAGUAUAUUUACUUCUUCUGCACUUGGGUGGUCAUGGGUUUGUUUCUUUUGUUGGGAUCCCUAUUCUACAGUUGUGCAUUGUUUCUCCUAAUCAACUCCAAAAUCCAGAUGAUCCUGUUUAAGUGAGCCAUAGACAUCAUUAUAUUCACUAAGGUCCUGUUGCGCUAUACAAAGACCCUGGAAGAAUAGCUAAGUGAGUCUUCACAUAUUACUGAGAACUUGAGAGCUUGGAAUAGCUGGGACGCCUCAGGAAAGCAGCCAAGAAUUUCUUGCAGAUUGCCCUCUCUAGACAUGAGGAGACUCAAGCUGUAUUGCAAGGGCAGAAGAGCACGGCCUCCUUGUGGACACCUAGGAAGAUACCAAGGUCAAAGAUCCCACUAUACUCAGGGUGUGCCCAAGAGUAGUGAUAUUAGUCCCUGAGAAUCCUUUGACAUGGGUCCAGGUUUAGCCCUCAUAGAGGAUGACAUAGGGACACUCAGGAAGAAGUACAGGGUUACACUGAAAAUAAAGGGAGGAAGCCUGCCCCGAAAUGCUGUCUCUUAGCACUUGUAGGACAAGAGGGAGGAGGGAUUACUUAGAGUCAGUGAGUGUUUAGGACUGAGCUGGGCACUUCAACUUCUGGGUUUGAGUAUAAAUACAGAUACUCAGAGACAUUCUCUGACUUUUAUGUUAAUAGUCCACCAUAACGAGUUCAGUGACAUUGCCCUACGAAUUCCACAGGAGGAAAAGCAAGCAUUUUUGAAGAGCAAUGUACAUUCUAAGGAGUGCAGGUUCAAAUCAGUAUCUGGGUAGAGGUCACACAACAAAUGAGAUUUCUGUGUCUCCUCUUUCAGCAGCCUGCUGCCACCUUUGAUCUCCUGAAUCAAUUAUUCCUCCCAUUGCAUCUUCGCAAUUCUUUUUUAAAGACUACACAUUGUUUCCAGACAAAUCUCUGUUUCAUAUUGUCCACUGCGUCCAGUAGACUGCUUCAUACUCCAGCAUGAAAUGGAUGUAAUUUGAAAUGCUAUCUUAAUCAGUUGUGACGAGUGAUAUGCCUAGGAUAUAAGCCUGGGAAUAUUGGCAUUUCAUAGAGAAUAUGUACUUUUCCCUCUCCAGAGUCUGACUUAUGUCCACAAUAGAAAUCACUUUGUCUGUGGUAGGCUAGUUUUGUAGACUCAAGCAUUAUUUUUUUUUCUCUAAAGGACUGCUUGCUUCUGAGUGUGGAUGGGGUUUGUUCAGGCCUCUUUUUCCUUUUAUGUGUCCUGGGCUUACAUCCUCAGGUUUUCUCCUUGGACCAGAGGAAAAUGCAUUUGCAAUUAGUACUCAUCAGGUGACACAUGAGCCGAUGCCCAGGGACAUCCAUCCCUGAACUACAGAGGCUGUCCUUCUCUUGCUUUUCAUAUGACGGGGGCUUCAUUCUAUCAGCACUUCAGUGCAUGCUAAACUCACAAGCUACAGACAGGAGGCCUGUCUCUAAACACAAUUCCUAGGUGUGAAACGGUUUGCCAUUUCAAUCUUUGGAAGAAUCAAGAUGGAACUCUUUUGAACUGCAAGAGGUAAAACAACCCCGAGAGUCCUGCCUUCAUUCUAUCCUCUGCAGUUUGCAAAUAGAUUGCAAGCACCUUAUUACCAAAAUGGCAAGGGAUCUGCUCCUGAACUUUGCUGCAGCUCGCAUAAAGGACAGCCACAGAGUGACACUGGGAAGCCUCACUGUAUCUGGGGCUCUCAUUCAUGGGACAGCAGAAGAAAAUGUUAAGCAUGGAGACAGUUUCCCCCAUGACAUUUCUUCAGAUAGGUGUGGUUCUAAACACAGCAGCCUGAACAGGCAUGAACAGAAUCAGUGCUUCUUAAAUUAUUGGGAAAAAUUGAAGGAAAAGGAAUUUUGAGGAUAGAAAAAUAUAUGGCCAUGGACCAAGUCUUUGUGAAGGCCUUCAGCCAAGCCCACAUUUAUGGCAUGAUCCAGUAGUAUUAAGUAUGUCUUCAUUAUUUUCUCAUACUGUCACUUCUGCACAUAUGAUAUGUGUGUAAUAGAAGUCACAGCACAUGGAGGGCUGAGGUGAUUUGGCCUGCAUAGUUCUCACUUGGAAUAGUCUGUGACUUUUCCUCACUCAUCUUUGGUUUCUCAAUAUCUUCUAGCAGAGGCCUCUCUGGGGCAACUGGUCAAAAAUUGGUACAUGAGGGGGUUUAUCUGGCAAGGUAAGGGACAUGGAACUUUGUGGGUUCCUGUUAGGAUGUUGUCCUGCAGCUCACCCUGUGUGUUCCCUAUACAGAGGAUGUGCCCUGUUCUCUUAUCCCAGACAGCUUCCUGCCCAGACUGCACUCAACAUUACCAUUGCAUGACUCCCUCAGGACAAGGUCUGGGGACCAAAAGGGUUCAGGUUCACAAGUUACGGCUCUAGCCUUUGAGAAGAACAAAGUCAAACACUUGAUGCUGCUGUCUGCAUAAGCAGCUGGUUUGGGCUUUGUUUGGGGGUUGGGGGUAGUAUUGAAUGCCACUGCGGUCUCUUCAGAUAGUUUCUGUUCCCUUUCUUCACACAGUUAGCAAGGUUCUUCUGCCAGGAUUAAUAUUCAGUUACUUUUCUUUAAGAAAACAGAUGUUCUCAUGGCACAACCCUUGAAAGUUGAAUUCAGAUGCUGGAGAACAUCAAUAUCAAAACAAUGUAGUAAGAAGCUUCUCUGUGCCUUCCUUGCCACUAUAUGCUUUUCAGGUCCCUGCAAGGCCAUGGUAGGAUAAUUUACAGAGUCAAGCCUUCACAGCUAUACAGGAAAGCAGCAUGUACUGAAUGCCCAGGUUCUUCUUUCUGAAGAGAUUGGCCAUUAAUUGAGGUUGAGAAUUUUCCUUGACCUCUGCUGAGAUAUACAGGAAAAAUCCCACCAUAUGGAGGUGAAAUUGAGACAAGAUAGGUACAUAAGAGUCAUUUCGUUUUACAGGGGAAAAAAACCACAUCUCCCUGGACUAUAGGAACCAAACCCCAGUCCAAAGCACAAACAUAACCACACGGUGUUUUCCUUUUUUUUCACUUAUACUUCCCUCAUGAAUGAUCCAUGAGAACAGGACCUGGAGAGGUGGAGAGUGUCCCUCUCAAUACCUCAGCACAGUGCCUGUCUUGACUGUUGCCUUCAGAGCCUUUUUCUUCCUAGUGACAAUGAUCAGCACCUAUGUAGGAGAUUGAAUUAGGUUGGUCCCCCUAGGGUCACGUGCUUCAAUACAAUUCCUAGUUGGGACAACAGUUUAGGAAGAAUUAGGCAGUAUAGUCUGGGGAAGAGCAGUGUCCCUGGGGCUGGGUUUACAGGUCUCAAAGCCCAGGCCAUUCCAAUUGAUUCUAUCUCUGCCUCCCACUUGUGAUCCAAGUGAGCUCUCAGCUGUUCUGUUCACAAUGGUUUUGAUGAUACCAGUAGAUACUCAACUUGUAAAUGAGUUUAAAGCACACAUUCACUUUUAUACGUUUGCUGCCGGGGUCCUGGUGUCUUUUUGCAGCGAAUGUAAGGAACAUGCAGACCUUAGUAGCUAUUGCUUUAGUGGAUCCAAUGCACUGAAAUUUACUUGUUCAAAAGUCAAAGCCAGUGGAUAUUUUAGUGCUCUUUGCUGUCGAGUCAUUAAUAUAUAUUUGUGAAUGCUAAAGGCAUGUUAUUGAAGGGAAGGGCGAUCCACUGUCCUGGACACUUGGAGUACUUAUAAAUCUCAACCAUUACAAACAUGAGCGGUGAUCCUGCUAUCAGAGGCUUCAGAAAUGCAGCUUAUCCAAGCUGAAGCCAGUGCUGGCUGAAGCAAAUAGAGAACAACUGCCCAAGUAACCCUUUCUUCUAAGUGACCCCACAUGCUCUCCUGAGCAUGGAGCACCUGUGAAGUCAAUGUUGAAUAAGAUAGACUCAGGUAGACUAAUUCUGUGGUCUUUGCUAAUUCCACAUCUGGGUUACACAGGUAUUUGUUUACGUCUUCUCAGGCAAUGCCACCUUGGUGCACAUAUAAUGCUUUAAAGAAAAAAGAUACAGGAAUAUUGAUAAGAAUAUUUCAUUUAGAUCCUAGUUAUCAUGCUCUAUUAGCUUCAUAUGUCAGUCUGCAAUUUGCAAAAUGUAUUGAUGUUUAAUGUCUCAAUAAACAAUGUCAAGAUAGUGGCGAUACUUUAUGUCCGGCACUCUCUGCGAAAAUAGUUUUCUUUGACUCCUCCACUUGCAGCAGGCCCUCCUCUAUUCUGAGGUCAAAGAAGUUUCCUACAGCAACAUACUGAGUAUCUAGGUGGAAAGGCUUUGAUGUAACGAGGACCUGGUAUAGAUUAAUUGUAAUAGGAUGGUGUAAUGUACAAGGUCAAUGUUGUGAUGAACAGUGCCAUACAAGCAUACCAUUUCAUUUCUUAAUGCUUCCUGCCUGUUUUGGAGGACCUAGGUUCUUGGAAGAUAUGGGUGGGUGGGGGGUUGUGGCUUUUCUUCAGAGACUUUUGAAAUAACAGAAAGGAAACAGGAAACAACAGGGAAGCUCUCUCUUAUGCCCAUUCUGAUGAGACACCCAAUUUUCUGAGAGGGUGAUGAAGGUUUCCUUGUCCAAGUCUUCCUUAGGCAACAGUGGAAUUUCCUGUUCUGAUGUGCUCAUGUGUUCACAGGGGCAGACCCAUCUACAGAAUACAGGGCACAGGCAGUAUCUGCUCCUCCUCUUGGGACAGUGUAGAGCAAUGGAAAGCAUGGGAGCUCUUCUUGCCCCCUGUGUCCUGACAGAGUCAGGGCAGCAGGUCCAUGCUCUCCUGAGGGCUGGUAAAGGAGGAGGACACUGUUGGGCUCACAGGCCCCUCCGUUGGGUGGAAUACAAGAUAUGAAGGGGUGUGCAGGAGUCGGGGUGGUGGAGCACCUGGAUCCACAGGCUUGGAUGAAGUCUUAGAUCCAUGCUCACAUCUUGUGUCUGUUCUUCUAGAGUAGUUAGGGCCCCAUCUUUUCCAUUUACUUUUCUGGGGAUUCCAGUUACUUGACAUAAAACUCCAUGAUUCAAAGCCUGUCCAAAAUGUUAGAAUCUGGAGAAGUCACAGUUUACAUAUUAACUUCACAUUCAUUACCCAUGAAUGUCCCUCAAUGUUUUCUAUGGAGGAACUCAACUUUGGGGAAAUUGUAUCUGGGGAUUUAGACUUCAAUUUGCCAGGAGAAGUGAGUUGCAAUGUCAUAGGUCCCUGUGACAAUAUUUGUCUCUUCCAUGGUGUUUACUCUCAGUGCCUGUGAACAUGUGGUCAGGUAAUAUAAGAGCAUGCCCAAACUGUCCGCAUCUGCCUUUUUUGCCAUCAAAUGGCUCAUCUAGUGUGAGGUCUAGAGCAUAAUUCCCUUGGACCCAUGCUGCCUUUUCAGGAAGAUGCAAAGUCUGCAUUGAGGUUCAGGUCAUCUCUGUCUAUUUCUCAUCAACCUCUGACUUGCUGAGGAUAUUCUGGUGUUUAUGUCUGCACAGACCAAGUUAAGGCUAUGUCAGUAAUUUAUGGCUGUCACUAUUUGCACAAAUAUUUUUGCCCCUUCUUCCUGCUUGGGGCCUCCUCCAUUAUUGGUUCAAGAAGUCCCCUGCUGGAGCACACUCAGUAUUUACAUGGACCCCCUUUGUCAUUAGUAGGUCCUAGAAGAGGCUAAUGAUUAUAGCAUGGUAUAGUGAAGAAGGUCGAGGAAGUGAUGCACCAUCCGGUACUUGCCUAGAAACUCAUGGGUUCUGUGUCCUGCCUUGUCAGAGGACCCAUAUUCUUGAGACAUAUGUAGUAGGGUUUUGUCCUCAGAGACUCCUUCAGAGAGGAACAGGAAAUCACCGAUAUCUUGCCCAGUCCUUGAAGCACCAAAUUCUCUGAAUGGUUCAUGAGGGUUCCUUGUGCAAGGAUUCCUUAGAUGGCAGGGACAUUGUCAUUUCUGGUGUGCUGAUGCAGACACAAGGUGCAGACACAUCUUGAGAAUGGAGGGCAUAGGCUGUAUCUCUGCUCUUCUUCUUGAGAAUAUGCAAAGCAAGGUCAGGCAUGGAAGCACUUAUUGCCCCCUUUUUGCCUGACAGUGUCAGGGCAGAAGUCCUAUGCUAUCCUAGGGCUGGAUAUGGAGGAGGCCAAAGUUGGGGUCACUCUCCAGUCUCUUUGGUGGAAGAAGAGAAUAAAGGGGUGUAUUCAUGAUAGGUGUGGCAUAGGUCACGGAUCUCAGGGCUGACGGAAGUCUUAGAUCCACGCUCAAAUGUCUUCUGUCCCUUUUCUUGUGAAUUUUUAUUUGUCCACAUCAUUUUGCUAAAUUUUUCUUUUUUAUGGAAUGCAAUGCCUUGAAAAUAUAGAAUUCCAUCCUCAGAACCUGGCUAUAAUGUGAGAAUCUGGAUAGGUCACAGUCGAGAUAAUUAAUCACAUUUCUUUUACCCAAAAAUGUCAAUAUUUUGAAUGGAGGGCUUCUUUUACAGAAACGCUGUGGGUCUGCAGAAUUAAGUUUUCAUUGGUUAACAGAAGUGAGUUGCAAUGUCAUAGGUCGCUGUGACAAUCUAUUUCUCCAUUCCUUUCAUGCUGCUUGCUCUGAAGUGGUGGGACCCUGUGGUGAUAAAAUAAAGUAACCUGCAUAGACUCGCCACAUGUGCCUCCUGGUUCACCUAAUGUGAGCUCUGAGGCAUGAAAUCCUAGGUCUCAUGCUGCAACUUCAGUAAGGGGCGGGGUCUGCCUUGAUGGUCAGGUGAGAUGCUAUAAAUUUCACAUUAUCAUCUCCAUCUUUUCAGAUAUUCUUGCAUUUUAUAUCUGAAUGGAGAAGGUCAAGGGCAUGGUACUACUUUAUGGCUGCCACAAUUGCUGAAAAUAUUUUCUUUGCCUCUUUUUCCUGGUUGGACCCUUCUCCAUUAUUAGGUCAAGGAGUCCCCUGCUGGGGCACACUCAGUAUCUUCAUGGACCCCUUUGAUCUUAGUAGGCCCUAGAAGAGGCUAAUGCUGUUACGAUGGUAUAGGGAAGAAUGUGAACAAUGCGGUGCUCACUCCCAUACUUUCUUACCCAUUCAUGGGGUUCUGUAUCCUGCCUCUUUCACAGGACCCAUAUUCUUGAAAGUUAUAUAGCAGGGUUUGGUCUCAGAGAUUCCUUGAUGUAACAGAUCCUUGACAGGAAAUCCCUCCUUUUCUUGCCCAGUCCCUUGAAUCACCCCAUUCUGUAGGUGUUAAUAAGGGUUCUUUGUGCAAGUAUUCUUUAGAUGGCAGGGGCACUUCCUCCUCUGGUGUGCAGACACAUGGGGCAGACCUCUGUUGUGCAUGAAGGGCACAGGCAGUAUCUCUGCUCAUCUUGGGACAAUGUAAAGCAAUGGCAGGCAUGGAAGCACUUCUUCCCACACUGUGGCCUCAAUGUGUCAGGGAAGCAGGCCCAUGUUCUCCAAGGGCUGGUUAUGGAAGAGGCCAAAUUUGGGGUCACUCUUUGCUGGAAGAAGAGAAUAAAAAGAUGUGCUCAUGAUAGGUGUGGCAUAGGGCAUGGAUCCCCAGUCAUGAUAGAAGUAUUAGAUCCAUGAUCAAGUACCUCCUGUACCUGUUCUUGUAUAUUUGAAUUUGUCCCCAUCUUUGGUAUAGUUUUAUUUUUUCAAGGAUACCAAUUUCAUGGAAAUAGAAAACUCCAUGCCUCAGUGCAUGUGUACAAUGUGAGAUUCUGGAUAGAUCACAGUCGAGAUACUUACUUCACAUUUCAUUUAAUUACACAAGAAUCUUUCUUAAUGCUUUGAAUGGAGGGCCUCAUCUUUUUCCAAACUGUGAGGAUCUGGUGAUUCAGAUUUCAAGUUGCCAGUAGAAGUGAGGUUUAAUGUUAUAGACUCCUGUGACAAUCGUCUUCUUCAUCUCUUUCAUGGUGACUCCAGCAAAGGGAUGGGUCCCUGUGGUGAUAAAAUAAAGGAGCACGCUUAGACUUUACCCAUCUGCCUCCUUGCCAUUACAUGUCUCACCUAAUGUGAACUCUGAAGCAUAAAAUGCCUUGGUCCCGUGCUGCCUUUUCAGUAAGAUGUGCAGUCUGCAACGAGGUUCAGGACAUGCCUGUUUUAUUUCGAAUCAAGCUCUGAAUCUCUGAGGACAAUCUGGUGCUUUAUAUCUGGAUGUCAAGGUUCUGGCAGUACGUAAUGGCUUCAACUAUUUGCAGAAAUAUUUCUUUGCCUCUUUUUCCUGCUUGGGUCCUUCUCCAUUUUUAGGUCAGGAUGUCCCCUGCUGGAGCACACUCAGUAUCUACAUGGACCCACUUUGGCAUUACUAGGUCCUAGAAGAGGCUAAUUGGUGUAGCAUGGUAUAGUGAAGAAGGUCAAGAAGUGAUGCACCAUCCCGUACUUGCCUAGAAACUCAUGGGGUUCGGGUCCUGCUUCUUUCAUAGGACCCAUAUUUUUGAAAGUUAUAUAGUAGGCUUUCAUCUUCAGAGACUCCUUAACACAACAGAUUCUUGACAGGAAAACCCUGAUACUCUUGUCUAGUCCCUUGAAGCACUCAAUCCUCUGAGGGUUUACUUAGAGCUCCUUGUCUAAGAAUUCCUUAGAUCGCAGGGGCAUUUGCUCUUCUGGUAUGCUGAUGUGGACUCAGUGGGUAGACAAAUCUCCAGAAUGGCAGUCUCUGUGUUCCUUCUCUUGGGACACUGUAAUGUAGUGGCAGGCAUGGAAGCACUUCUUGCCACUACUGGCCUUAUUGUGUCAGGGCAGCAGGCCAAUGCUCUCCUAGGGCUGGAUAUGGAUGAGGCCAAAGUUGGGGUUCCUCCCCUUUCUCUUUGGUGGAGGAAGAGAAUAAAGGGAUGUGCUCAUGAUUUGGGUGGCAUAGGGCAUGUAAGCCCAGUAAUGACAAAAGUCUUAGACCCAUGCUCAAGUGCCCUCUGUUCCUGUUCUUUUAAAUUUAAAUAUGUCCCCCAUCAUUUUGCUGUAGUUUUACUUGUUCAAGGAUUUAAUUUCUUGCAACUAUAAAAUUCCAUACCUCAGAGCAUGUCUACAGUUUGAGAAUCUGGAUAGGUGACAGUCGAGCUAAGUACUUCACAUUUCCUCUCAUUACACAAAAAUGUCUCAAUGUUCUCAAUGGAGGGCCUUAUUUCUGGGUAAACUGUAAGGAUUUGGUGGAUUAGGUUUCUGGUUGCCAGAAGUGAGUUGCAAUGUCAUAGGUCUCUGUGACAAUCUAUUUCUGAUCUCUUUCGUGGUCCUUCCACUGAAGAAAGGGGACCCUGUGGUGAUAUAAUGGAGUAGCAUGUCCACACUCUACCCUUCUGCCUCCUUGCCAUCCUGUGGUUCCCGUAGUAUCAGUUCUGGAGCAUAAAAUCCUUGGUCCUAUGCUGCCAUUUCAGUGAGGGGCAGUGUAUGCGGUGAUGGGCUGGUGACGUCUAUGAUUUUACAUAAUCCACUGCAUCUUUUUGGGUAUUCUCGAAUUUUAUGCCUGGAUGGACAAGUUCAAUUUUUGUGGCAGUACUUUAUUGAUGCCCAUAAGUGACCAAGUAUUUUCUAUGAUCUUCCUUCUGCAACAUGCCCCCCUCCACAAUUUGGUCAAAGACGUUUCCUUCUGGAGCAUUCUCAGAAAGUAGAUGGAUCUUCUCUGAUGUUCCUAGAACCUAUUAGAAGCUCUUGAUAUUAGAAUGGUAUAGUGUUUCCACUGUUGGUAUUUGUGGCUGGAUCCUUCCAAUGAGAUAUUUCAUGACCUCUACAGUUUUAUGAUCACUAAGGCCUGUGGUUUUGUGUUGCAGGCUGGAUUCAUGGUCUCAAAUGCAUGCUGGUCAUUUGGGAAAAGUAUCAUGUAAUGAUUCCUGAGUUGUUUUUUUUCCUGUGGUGCUGGCCCUAAGGCUAGGUUUCUUGGAUGGUUCCUGACAGUACUUUACACAAUUUAAGGCUUGCAUCCCCACCUUCUUCCUGAUCUAUUAAUUUUUCAAUUAUGUAUGUUCUCAUCAUUGAACUUUGCUCGUUUGUCAGACAGGGUCGCUCAGAACUCGACAUAACUUAGAUUCCAUCAGAUACUCCCAUAUCUACACAAAUAUCUCCAAGACACUACCUGACAUACCCUUACCUAACUUUAUAAGAAACUGGGGAUAAUUCUACCCUGAUAUAAUUAUACUGAAUUUUCCUAUCUUCUACUGUUCUCACACUUCAUCUGAAUGGUUUUGAGAGAUGUCAAUUUUGAGAUAUUGGUUCUGGGCCCCAAGAGUAUUUUUCUUCCAGUUAAGAAUUUUAGAGGAAGUCAGGGAAGCACUUGCCCAGAGGUAUUCUACAUUCUGGGAGAAAGGCAGUUUGCGAGGGAUGCCCUCUAUUUGGACAGGAACGUAAUUGGAGAUAGACAGUCUAUUUACAAAAAAGAAAGGCAGUUGACAACAGAUUUCAUAUGUACAUGGAGGUAGGCAGUUGGAAAGAGAUGCUCACUGUACAAUAAAAAGGCAUUUGGAGAGAAAUGCCAAUGUACAGAUGAGAUGGCAGUUGGUGUCAAUUUUGGAUGUUCCGCAGCUCUUCUCACAAAUGUCUAGAGUUGACACUUGGAUUGUCGCUAAGUUUGUCUCACUAAUGGAGGCAUCAACCAAGGAGAUGGGAAAAUACCUGCGGAGAGAACUGCCACAUAGUAGAAGACUUACUCCCAAUUUUAGUAGUUAAGUGCCCUCUGUAUUCAGAUAUUCCAAAAUUAACCCUCCUAAUAUACAUAACCUUCUCUAGAAAUCCUUCCAUGUUCCUGUAGAAUGUUUUCCAUUAGACAGACACUGGGACCCCUGAAGACCUCAGGGAAUAUACAGGUCUGAUUUUCCUUGCCUAAGUUUAAGGGACUCAAAAUGUAUUGAGUAACUUGAGCUGACAAUUCUGACCACUCAUUUCCAAACAUUUGAAUAUAUGAACCGACUCUUUAUGGAACCAUAAUAUAAAAGAUGUUCAUUUUGAACCACAUCCCCCAUAGGCAGGCUGGGGCCUCCCUUACUCCAGCAGAAAUAGGCUUGAGGGGUUGCUGGACAAGGCAACAUCUAGUGCUCCUGUUCUCCAUGGGGCCAAGUGGCUGCAUCCUUUAUGGAGCAUGAGCUGAGGCCACAGUAUCUCAGCUCCACGUCUCAGGUUACUGCCUUACCUACUCCACCCCAGUGUACUUUAUGUAGCCUUGUUAGAACUGAGAACGGAGAGACACAACAGUAAAGAAUGGCAACUGCAGACCUCACCCAUUAGGAAUAGAAGGGUAAACUUGGUGGACAGACACAGAUGGCUCAGCAGAGUGUUUACUUUCCUCCUGCCAUUUCGGUCACAGUGAAGAGAAGGUGACUGAGGGAGGACAACAACAGGUGAGCUAGGGAUAUUUCUCAACAACAACAACAACAACAACUACAACAACAACAGCAACAACAACAACAACAACAACAACAGCAAGUGACUUUGUGAUAGGCAGAGGACUCUGAAAGUAUGGCAAGGCCUGUCUGCUAAGGCUAGGGUACAUGUAGUGGCUCUGGCAUCUUCUCAGCUGGCUGAAGAAACAGGACAUGGUUAAUGGAGGAGAGAACAGAGUUCAUGCAAGAAAGAUCCAAAUCCUCCUGGACUGGGACAGGAAAUAAACUUGAAAUUGGGACAUCUGUGUCUGUGAUGAGAGUGAAAAGACAAUAAAACCUAACUACCCCUAAAAAGGAGAGCAGAGUAUGUGGGUCUGUCUGGCAAAACGUCCAGUAGUCUUCUAGGUGGGGAGAGGGGAUUAUUGGAAAGAGAGAAAAUAAAGACUCAGAAACAAAGUUUAUCAAUACUGGGCAUAUGCACAAAAAUUCCCCUACAUACAGCAAGGAUACAUGCUCCAUUAUGUUGAUAACACCCUUAUUUAUAAAACCCAGAAGCUGGAAACAAACCAAAAGUCCCUCAGUAGAAAAAUGGAUGCAAAAAAAAAUGAUUCAUUUACACAGUGGAAUACUAGUCAGCUAUUAAAUAAUAUGACUUCAUAAAAUUCUCAGGCAAAGGGAUGGAGCUAGAAAAUAUGCUGAGUGAGGUAACCCAGUCACACAAAAAAAACCCACACUCUUUGUACUCACUGAAAAGAGGAUAUUAGCCAAAAAGCUCACAAUACCCAUGAUAAAACCCACAGACCAUAUGGAGCUAAGGAGGAAGGAAGACCAGGGUGUGGAUGCUUCAGUUCUGCAUUGAGGAGGUUACAGGAUUAUUGCAGGAAGUGGAGGAAUAAGGGGACCAGGGAGGGAGACAGGAGGAGGAGGAGGAAAUAAAGGGGCAAUAUAAGAUAGUGGAGGAGAUGGUAAAGAGGAAGAGAGGUUUAGGAAAUGGAUAAAAAUAGGUAAUAGGCAUGAUGAACUGGAGAUGGCCACCAGAGGGUCCCACAGACCAGGAAAUGAGAGGCUCCUAGGACCACUGAGAAUGGCUUUAGCCUAAAUAUGCAGAGAACAGGGAGAUAGAUCCUGAAGAGACCACCUCCAGUAUAUAGGCACAGUCCCCAAUGGAGGGCUGAGCUUGCCCAUCUCAAAGUAUUUUACCCAGAAAUGUUCCUGUCCACAGGAAGAACAAGGACAAAAAAAUGGAGCAGAGACUGAAGGAAGGGUCCUCAAGGAACUUUCCUACCUGGGAAUCCACACUGUGUGCAGACACCAAACCUGAAACUGUUGCCUUUGUCAUGAAGUACUUGCUAACAGGAACCUGGUUUGACUGAUUCUUGGGAGGCCUGGUUAGCAAUUGAGCAAUGCAGAUGUGGAUGCUUGGAGCUAACCAUCAGACUGAACUCAGGGACCCUGGUGGAGCAGCUGUCACAGGGAGUAGAGAAGGACAGGUUAUUGCAACCCAAUAGGAAGAAAAACAUUGGCCUAACAAACAACCCAGUGGUCCCAGAAUCUAGGCCACCAAAUAAGGAGUGUACAGGGAGGGAUCCAUGGCUACAAGUACCUAUUUGUCGAAGAAAAUAUUUUCCUGAUAGCAAGGGGAGGAUAUCCCCUUGGUCCUGUAGAGGUUUGAUUUCCCCAGCAUAGGGAGAAACUGGAGAAGUGGGAGAGGAUGGGAGGGUGGGCGAGCACCUUCAUAUAGACAUGGCAGAGGGGUGUGAGGGCAGAUGUGGGACAGGGGUUGUGGAGGGGUAACCUGGAAGUGAGAUAGCAUUUGAAAUGUGAAUGAAUGGAAUGCUUACUAAAUAAAAGAAAUGAAACAAAGAAAAGCAAUGGCCAGGGCUGUUGAGUCCGUACCGCACGAGUCUCAAGGUUCUCCUGGACUUGACAAUAGUUUAUAGUAUCAUGGGAAUCAAAGUCCCCAGCCCACAGAGAUGAUGACUGAUAUGUAUUCAGUAUCUCUAAGCAUAUGGAGGCCUCUCUUUUUCUUCCAGUUCCUUCCUUUAAGAUCAACAAACAUUGAUCCCAUUAACAUGAGCUUCAAGUGUGUCCCUCAUAACCUUCCAUGAAGCAGCAAAUCAGGAAAUCUGCUGGUAGACCCCGGUCUGAUUGACUCUAGCAGACAGUCAGGCAUUCAUAAAAGAAGGCAAAAUUUCUCCCCACAAGCAGGUGGGCCUUACCUCAGUAGAGUCACAAAGUUCCUGCUUGUACAGCAUCUUGUAUCCAGACAGAAAGCUAAACCGGAGCUAGGCACUAUGCUAAGAAUCAGUCUUGGGGUACGAGUUUUCCUCUUGCUUUCUGAGAAUACAUUCUCACCACUAAUCUGUGUCCCAUCCCUUGUCCAACUUUCAUGGCCCCCUGGAUCUCCCUAUGGAGUUACCACUUGGAAUGGUUGCUUUAGAUUAAAGGUCCAAGCAAGGGUGAAGACCAGAAUACAAAACAAAUCAUGGCUUCGUACUUCUCUAUAUACACAGACAGAUGGAGAGGUAUUGCAAAUAAUCUAGCAAAAGAAGACAGACUCCAAGCAGUUCAUAUGGUUACUGACCCUAUGGAUGCCUUAGCAGGUAGAGCCCAUUCCACUGAGCCCCUGAUUCAAAUUAUGCAGAGUUAACAAGUUAGAGGAACCCUGGGAAAAGCUACCAGAAGCACUGUCUUCCUAAACAGGCAGAGGCACACACACCUUUUCCUUGACAAACAGGAUAUGUCAGUCUUGUACCAGUGUGCAUAUACCUAGGGGAGGAAGCAUUCUACCUCUUCAGAUCCUAUGUUCCAUGAGGUACAAAUAAAAGGGUCCUUCCACCUGCAACCACAAAUGAGAUAUUCACUCAGAGGUCCUGUGGACCCACUACAAGCUGAAGCCGAACUCCUAGUGUCCAUCUGGAUGAGCUGAGCUCCAAUGUCCAUAAGAGAUACGACCAAGGAAAGAACCUAGAAUGUACCUUGUCCUCACGUUGGUUCAUGGCUAGACAUCUUGUCUGCAUCCACUGCAGCAUCACCAUGUCAAAUCCUAUUGUCCCUCCAUCUAGAUUGAGAGAGAGUCAUGACCACAACUUCUCUGCUCUCUGAAAGAGGCUCUGUUGGCGUAGAGUCAGGCAGCAGGCUGGCAGCAUUGAAAUUAACCGUAUUGAAUGUGGUGCUAGUCCAGGAUAACUGCCUAAUUAUUUGAGCUUUGUACUUCCACCUCUGUUGCCCCAGAGAAAGGCCAAUACAGCAUGGAACAUGGACCUUCUCUGUAAUCUUACUAACAUAGGACCAGACAUCAUUCAUCCCUGUUCCUCUCCUGGUGUCUCUGGCUUGCACUCUAGGGUCUCUCGUAAUUUUAGUAGCAUUUCUCUUACAUAGUCAUGGUUAUUUUAAACCCUUUUGAGCAGUUUCCAGUAAUCAGGUACUACUUCUAAACUCACAUCUUUUAACCAUUUUUAGAUUCUUUUCCAAGAUCUGAGGAAAUAGCAAACAACAGCAAAGUUUCCUACUAGGUCCCAUGAAUUCUACCAUGAGCUUGGCAAACACUGUCGAGGGCCUCAUGGUCCUAGUAAGUGUUGGUACCUAACCAGUUUAGAAGGAAAUAGGUCUGGAGAAAGGUGUAGGUAUAUUUUUGAGCUUGACUUUCUUGUCUAAAACAAGACAGCAACCAAAUAAUAAUAACUGGGAACCAGAGCUCACCAUAGAGGAGGGACAAAGGUCAGAUUUAUAGAGUGGGGCUGAAAACACAGAUACUGGUUUUGUUUUUCAUGAGUGGUAUGAGCAAUCCAAAAUUACCAGUGCCCUGAAAGAGGGGCAAAUAUUUAGUCAGCUGUGUUCAGUGCAGGUGUGAGUUGUCUUGCACAAGAAAGCUGCUCCUCAACACAGGAAAAGUGGUCAGUGCAGCUGGGUUAUCUUAGUCACCAGAUUCCAAAGCACUGGGACCAUUAGUUGGCUACCUGACUCCAAAACAAGGACACUGUAUUUCAGACGUGCUCUGGAGGUUUUCAUGCUAAAAAAGAGACAACAUAAGCAUGCUCUCCAGUAAAACUCCCAUGAGGCAUGUCAGACACUGCCCAACAUUGCCUGGCACUGCCACCUGUUGCCCAUUCAGUGGUGUGGACAAGAAAAAGACACCCUCCUCUGCCCUUGUACCUCACCACCUAUGGCAUGCAUAACACUUGACUCUGGUGUGACUAGAACAGGAGAGCAGCCCCUGUCAUUCACCUGCUAGAACACUCAGGAGUUCAGGUCCUUAACCUUGCUUGGGCAGCACAAUAGAUCUAGCCCUGGAUAAAUGGGCUGUGUAUGAAAAGGCCCCAAGGGUUCUGUCUCUUGUCUGCUAGGCAGUGGUGAGGAUGAUGGAGAAACCCCUCUCCCCUUAUUCAUCAUGAUGUCUGUGGCAGGCAGGAGAGCUGGCCCUGUGCUCAUGUGUAACAGACCUGGCCAUGUCCUCACUCGCUGCAAUACUCAAGAGACAGGAACUGGCGCUUCACCUGAAGAAUAGGGUGUCACUGGCCAUGUUUUCAGGGACUACAAGUUAAGCAGUCUCCUUGAAGGGUGCUAAAGCCAUCAGCCUGACAAGAUACUUCUCAGGCACAAAUCCAGGACUUUUAAUUGACACCAAUAUCUAGCUAUUGGUGAACUUCUGGAGUGCAUGCAGGGCCAGUUUUAUAGAUCUAAAAGUCCAGAAUGUCUAUGAUACAGAUAACCACCAUGACAACAAAAUGUCUGAGAAGAGGUCCAUUGAAAUUCCAGUGUUGAUAGAGUAGCUGAAGCCUCAUACCACACCAAACAACCACCAUAAUGAAAAUUUGCAGAUGAGAAGGUGUGAAUGCCAUGGUGACAUAGUAUAGCUUCCACAACAAUCAUUUUCCACUAUUAUUGGGGAAGAUGGCAUGGGGUAAGUACGGACAGGAGAGGAGAGGAGAGGGAGAUAGUGAGAUUGUGUCUUGUGAAGGGAAAUAUAUACACACACACAAACACACACACACACACAGAGAGAGAGAGAGAGAGAGAGAGAGAGAGAGAGCACACUGACAAGUGAGCAGGCGAAAUUGAAUAAUGUUAAGCACUAGAAAGAUCUUUAAAGCCAAAGUGGUAGUUAACUAGUCAAUGUCUGAGAAAUGGCGGUGUUGUUUGAAAUACAAACUCACAGUGAUUGUCAGCGUAUGCAUGAGAGUAAGCAAGCUCGUACCAGAGGGAAUCUUAUGAACAAGGAAGUGGGGAUAAGGACUGGAAAUCCAACUACAAAGUGAGAGACCAUUGGCACUUGACAGCUGCUGGGAGAGGGAAAGGCUGUUUUUGAUGCCAAACCCUGAGAGGUCAAUGAUUCUCCAACUCACACUUCAUGACUGAGAUUAGUUGGGUAACAAAAACUGGACCUGAUCGAGAGAUAUGAAGGUAAAGGGAGAGGAGGAGGGAGGGGGAAAGGGAAGGGGAGGCAGAGGAGGAGCAAAACAGGGAAGGGAGGGAGAGGGAGAGGUUGAAGAAGAGGAGGAGGAUCAGAGGGGAUGAAAAGGAGAGUGAGACUGGUCUUCAGUCUGGACAAACCAACCUCUGUUGACUAGUUUUGUUCUUGAUGCUUCCCUAGGACACUUUCAGAGGCACAGUGCCAUUACCUAUACUCAGCUGGAGCCCUGUUUUCUACAUCUUCUGACUCCUGGAUCCCCAAUGGCUGUGACUGAUAGGGCACACAUGGGAUUAAUAGGGGACUAAGGGGCAUUUGAGGACUCCCAUCACUGAAGAAGGGUUCAUCGUUUCUCAGAACUGCAUUCACGGCUGUGAUUUAAUAGAGCUCAUUGAUGACAGGUUGAGUGUUUUCAGCUUUGCAGUGUGCCUAGCAUUAUGUCUUCAUCUGCAUCAUGACUGUGAUCCAUAUGUAAUGUCUCACUAGGAAAUAUUUGAUUGCAGAAGAAGGAAACCACACUAGCUGUGUGUAAUUCUUGUUCCCAGUGGUUCAGCUUUUAUCCAUACUUAGAGGAUCAGAACUUGUAAGAUGCUCAACCACAGGUGCAGAGACCAUCACACCCAGUUAGCACAGUGUCUGGUAGGGGAAUCCACCUAGAGAUGUAGAUUCACAGGUCACCUCCACCACUGAGGCUCUAGUCAGGACCCGGAGCUGAUUUACCUUAGAUUCAGUUGAAGGAGAUGGGGGAGGGGACAAAAAUCACAGGAAGAGUCUGUGGUCUGAAAGACUUGCUUUCUCUGAAAAGUGUGGCAGGCAUUGGUAAUACUUAUGUGACUUGGAAAGGAGAGUAGACACAUGACUAAUGGAAUGACUCUAGAGCUGAUAGGGAAUUCUGUGACUUCCAUUUCUCCUUCUGUGAGAAAAUAAUGAAGCCUUAAAUAAUGAAUAACUUAAGGAAUGGUUUGUCCUGGCUCAGAUAUAAUUAUGAUAUAGUAUCUCAAGGUGGGAAAAGCAGGGUAUUAGCAGAAAAAGCAACUGAUUUCCCUGUGUUCAUGGUCAGGAAUCCCAGGCAGCAGAUGCUUGAGAAUCUUGUUGCUUUCCCAGUUUGAUGCAGCUGGAAAUAAACCCCAAGGAAAUGUUCCAAAAAUAAUGCAGGAUGGACCUUAUGUUCCUUAGAGAAAAACAUCUCAAAAACACAGAUACUUGCCCAAAUGUUUGCACCUAAGCGCCUGUCACAGUCACCAAGAAGGUUGAUUUCUGGGAAGCUAAGGAGCCCAUAGAAAGAAGUACUUUACGUUCAGAAAGUUUAUUGUUUGAUCAAGACAAAUGCUGACCAAAAAAGGAGCUGGGAGGACACAGAGCACAGAGCUUGGAAAUUGCGUGUGUUUGUUUGUACUUGCAUGGCAAAUGGAGGGGCACUAUUGGAGGUGUGUGCUUGUUGGAAUACGUGUGUAACUGUAUGCGUGUGUUUGGAGAUUCUCCUCCUAUCUGCCUGGAAGGAGUUUUCCGUUUGCCUUUGGAGCAUGAUGUACAACACUCAGCGCCUCAACUGCGCUGCCUGUCUAGAAGUUGCCUAACUUCCCACCAUAAUGAUUUGGACGGAAACUCACAACCAUUGAGCCAGCCACAAGAAAAUAUUGUACAUGACAAGGCAGUAAUAUAUUACCUUUGUCAUGGCGUGUUUUUACAGUAGUAGAAAUUCUAACAGAAAUUGCAGGGGAAGUAAGCAUCAUCUCUUUCCAAGGGAAUAAAUUAUUGAGAGAUGCAGAGUGGAUCACAAGUAGAAGGCUGCUGUGUCGCUCUCUCUCCUUUGCACACAGUUGAAGGACUGUCAAACCUGCAUAGCUCACACUGAAAAAUUCCAGGAAACUCCCCAGUGCAUCCAAGUAGGGAGAAGACAAGGCUGAGGAGAGCAAGGAGAUGCUGCCAACGCAAGCAGGAGGAAAAGUAGAAAGGAGAAGCCAAAAUCGAAGACAGAAGAAGCAACGAAAGGAAUGGAAAAGACUUGUUCCUCCAAAGCAAAAGCAGUGAAAGAGAAAGGGCCUUCUGAAGUUGAUGUGUGUUCUGCUAAAUCCAACAAGGCCAAGAAGGAGGAUGAGCCUCAAGACCACAAUGCUUGUAAAAGCAAAACAUCCCAGAAGAAAAGGAGUCCCUUGAGAAGAAAACAGCCAAUGGGAAAAAAAUAAAACAGAGACAAAAACCAGGAAGUUUCUGAAGCAGAGGCAGACAUGCCCAAGCCCAAGGAGAAGAAAGGGAAAGAAGUUAAUGAGACAUGGGAGAGAAGAGCCCAGGCUCAAGAAUGUCCUCUCCCAUUCCGAACCAAACUCCAACUCCAGGGAUGCUCCUGGGGAAGAAAAUAGUAAUGAGAUAGAAAAGGAAAUACUCAUGGAGAAGAAAGGAUUCUCUCUAAUUUUCCCAUACGCGAAGAGACUGUCAAGCUUCUCAAAGCUCAAAGCUUGAGGGGUGAACUACCCGUUUUUUCUAAAAGCCAAGACAUUCCAUCAUGUAUACAGUGAGACAGACUUCAUUGCCCAGGCAUGGACAGUAAGCAGGAAGACCUUCUCCUUUGCCAUCCCUUUGACUGGGUAACUUAAAGGUGGACUUCAAGAGAGGAAGAGAGGCCAAGCCAAUCAGAUACUAGUGCUGCACCUACAAGAGAAUUAGCAAAUCAAAUGAGCAAAGACUUCAGUGACAUCAAUAAAAGUAUCAGUGUUUUUUAUGGUGAAACUCCCUAUGGUGGUCAACAAGAACAAGUGCAGAGUGGGAUAUCCUGGUUGGGACCCCAGCUCGUAUUGAGGAUCACUUGUGGAAUGGCAAGCUAGAUCUCACCAACCUUUAACAUGUUGUCCUAGAUGAAGAUGACCAGAUGUUAGAUAUUGGUUUGAAGAUCAAGUGGAAGAAAUUUUAUGUAUAGCAUACAAGAACGAUUCUGAAGGCAACCCGCAAACAUUGCUUUUUCUCUGUAAUCUGCUCUCAUUGAGUAUUUAAUGUUGCUAAGAAAUACACAAAACCAACAUAUGAACCGGUGGACCUGAUUGGAAAAAGACUCAGAAAGCAGCCUUAACUGUGGAGCACAGGAGACAGAGAGGACAGUGGUGAGUGGGGAUGUGUUCCGAGGCUACAGUGGUCAUCAAGGGGACAUGUUCAACUUCUGUGAAACCAAGAACAGUGGCAGGAGCUGUCACAAAAAACAUGCAUAAAGCAGGAAUGCCCAGUCCUUACAUGGGGACAUUCUGCAGAAGCAAAAGGAAAUCACCCUGAAACGUGCUGAAAUGGCAAUUUCGUGGGUUUACUGGCUGCAAGUGGGUUAGACAUCCCCGAGGUUGACCUGGUUGUUCACAGCUGUACACCAAUGGAAGUGGAGUCUUUGAUCUUUCAAUAAGAAGAGGCAGAGCUGGAAGGAUAGGGGUUUGAACUGCUUUUACCAAAGAAGAGUACCAGUUACCCCAGGUGGAGUGGAAACCCAGCACUAAAUUUGAGUGGAUAGGUCUUCCUUCUGAAACAAAUAAUGAAAGCCUCCAGCAAAGAUGCCAUCAGACUAUUGGACACUGUGUCCCCACUGCUGUUGGCCAUUUCAAGUGGUCAGCUGAGACGCUGACUGAGGAGAAAGGAGCUGUAGAGACCUGGUAGCUGCUCUAUCUCCACAGAUCAGGGGCCACAUCGGUCGACCAGUGCUCCCUGAUCCACUGCCCAGCAGCCUUUGAGACCAUGUAACUGCAGUGCUUUGUUGAGAUGUCCAACUGAGCUAUGCUUGGAAGGAACUUGAGGAGCAGCUAGGCAAGAACAUCGAUGCCAAAAUAAAGGGGAUGGUCUUCCUCAAAGGAAAACUGGAAGUUUGUUUUGAUGUCUGCACUGAAGCAGACACAGAAACACAGGUGAAGUGGCACGGUUGGAGAUGCUGGCAGCUCACCGUGGCCACUGAGGAGCCAGAGCUGAAAGGACCCCCAGAAAGAUAUCAAGGGGGCAGGGGCAGCAGAUGGCAGCCAUGGUGAUUUCAUGGGACAGCAGGGUGGAAGCAGGAACUUCCUGGAUCAGGGCAGGGACAGCAAGGAGGAAGUAGAAACUUCAGAGGACAAUGACCAAGAGGUGACAACAAAAGGUACCAGAUCCACAAUCAAAGGCCAGAAGUGGAGUUUAUAGUAAAGUAUUUGGUCAAUGAGUAGAGCCAAGAAGAAACUCUUCACAAUGGGCACCCCAGGGUCCCUCCUGCUCUCAAAGUCCCCAGUGCUUCAUUCCUUUUAGAUGAUUUACCAGCUCCCCUUCCUUGCAGAGAGGUUUCUGACCUGUCUGAGUAACCGUCAUUCUGUCUUCCUUUUGGAAAGAAAUAGGAAUGGAUGGAUGAAUGAGUGAAUGAAUGAAUGAAUGCAUAAUGUGAGGACGACAAAGUAAUCGAUCUGAUAUUGGGCCCUCAAUGCACUUCCCAGGUGCUGCUCCUCUAACUGGAGUCUCAGGAGCCAAUAGAGCAGCUGGGGAGGUGAUCAAAUCUCUCUCAGGUUGCAGCUUUAAUGCACUUCCCUGUGCAGCACAGUACUGCCUGUAAUUGCUAAACAGUAAAUAUCUGUCUCUUUGAUCUGCUGAAGAAGAAGCUCAGAGAGGCUAGUUUCCUUUUCACAAGAAUGGAAAGUUCCCUGAGGCCCAGAGUGGAGACAGCCACUAUGGUUUACAGCCUUGUCUGUUUGGUACAUUUCAUGCUGUGACCUCACAAAGAACCACUUGGAUGUAAGAAUGAGUGUCCUCUGUAUAAGACAGUGGACCAGCCUGUUGAAUUUGUCCAUAAGGACCGGGGAGCCGGUUAAUGUUGACCUGUGGGACUCCUUGAUAGCUGUGUAUUUUGUUAGUUGACGAGUUAUUGUACCUCACAACUUGUGUUCACCAGAUCACAGGGAUGGACAUCACUUCUAUUAAGAAGACUUUGGGCAGUCAGUAUAAGGUGGUUUUCUUUCUUGGACAGGGUUCAUAUGGCAGGGUGAGAUUGGCCUGGCACCGGAGAACGCAGGCCCUGGUUGCCAUCAAAACGGUAGAGAUCUGUAAGAAGACCAUCAGGGCAAUCCUGUCCGAAAUGACCACUUUGGAGUUACUGCACCAUCCAAAUAUAAUUUCCCUCUUCCAGAUCCUGGUUACAGCGAACCAGAUUCAUUUUAUUUUACAAUAUGCUCCAGGAGGCAACUUAGUAGAACUAAUAAGUGAGGAGGGCCCGCUGCCAGAAGAAAAGGCGAAGAAAAUGUUCGGACAGAUCGUAUCUGCGAUAAGAUAUUGCCAUAGUCUGGACAUUGUCCAUCGUGACAUCAAGCCACAGAAUAUACUGAUAGAUGGAGAGGGCAAUGUUAAGCUGAUCGACUUUGGCCUGGCAGUCAAAUGCAGACCUGGUACAUUACUGAGUAGGCACUGUGGAACCAGGGGCUUUAAUGCCCCUGAACUGGUAUUACAGCAGCCAUAUGAUGGCAAGAGUUCUGAUGUGUGGAGUUUGGGCGUACUCCUAUAUUUCAUCACCACUGGCUACUUUCCCUUCAGAGGAAACACCAUCAAUGAGAUUGAGCAAAAGAUUACAACGGGGACCUAUACCGUUCCACAUCACCUGUCUGGGCAACUCGAAAACCUGAUACAUCAAAUCCUCACGGUUUCCCCAGAGAUGAGGCCCUCUAUAGAGGAAAUUGAAAAUCACCCAUGGAUCAAGAAAUGCGAGUUUAAAAUCCCGACAAUGACUGACCCAGAUUACAAAAUUAUAGAAAUGCUCUGUGCGAUGGGGUAUAAUGCCAAUGACAUCUUGGAAUCCCUCCAAAAGAAAAGAUACGAUGAACCAAUGGGGGCAUAUUUGAGCUUAAAAUAUCAUGUAAGCAAAGGGUAUGAUCUUGGAUAUAUCACUCCAGCCAAGCCUGGGGAUCCGUGCCCUCCGCCACCCCCAUCACCAGCACAUCCCUCUGUCUUUGUCCUUCCUCUCAGGAGAAGGGCCAGUGAACCCAUCUUUGGCCACCACAGACCUCCCUCAAGAGAACAGAAUCCUCUUGACCUGAUUCUAUCAGGACUCAAGAUGAGCAGGUGUGUCUCCAUGCCUCCCAUUUCGGUAUACUAUCCUAAGAAGGAGAGAAGCACUUCUACCCGUGCCCUCCACUCAACACCUGUGGCCUCCCCAUGUGUCUACAACAACAUGUCGGGAGUUGAAAUAAUCCUGCCACCUAAGCAGGACAUUGAGAUGAAUACGUCAUCUCCCCCUCAGACGAUGGGAUGGUUUAAGAGACUCCGCAAAGGAAUCAGAGACUGCAUUUCAAGACUUUGCUGCCUCCCUCGGGCUCCAAAGAAAAAAACCCAGCAUAGAUCCUCCAAGAGAGUGGCCCCCCUGAAAAAGGCAGCAAGCAGUACCAUAUAAAAGGCUCUCACAGUCUUGAAGGUCCACACAUGGAAAAGACCUGAGGGGUGCACUCUCCUGACUCCUGAGGAUUGGAAAGGACAAGAUAGUGAAGAGAUCAGUGGGAAAGAACAGAGUCAACAGACCCGGUGAGAGAGAAACCCAACCGCCUGGUCAGGUGGGCACUCCUGAGGCUGCAGAGCGGAAGAGACCACCAACACAGCUCACCCCUGCCCACAUCCCUGGCCCAAGAGGAAACUGUAUAAGGCCUCUGGGCUCCCGUGGGGGAGGGCCCAGGAGCGGCAGGACCCCGCUGGACCCUGAAGGAAACAGACCGGAUAAACAGUUCUCUGCACCCAAAUCCCUUGGGAGGGAGAGCUAAACCUUCAGAGAGGCGGACAAGCCUGGGAAACCAGAAGAGACUGCUCCCUGCACACACAUCUCGGACGCCAGAGGAAAAAGCCAAAGACCAUCUGGAACCCUGGUGCACUGAAGCUCCCGGAAGGGGCGGCACAGGUCUUCCUGGUUGCUGCCGCUGCAGAGAGCCCCUGGGCAGCACCCCACGAGCAAACCUGAGCCUCGGGACUACAGCUUCCCUCCUGCAGAUAAUGGUGCAUUUGAGGCCAGGACAUUCAUGGAUUCCUGAGUACAAGGAAAGUGGCUCAUUGUUGCUAAGGAUCCCAACUCAAAUUAGCAACACCGGACUGAAAACACAAACUAAAAUCCUCCUACCUGAGCAAGGUAUGCAGAAAAAAUGAGAGACUGCUGUUUUCAGGGACAAGUGUCCAUAUGGAAUCUAUAGUGAUGAUCUAUGCCUGGCAGAGGAACAAUGGUCAACUAUCUAAUGGGCCCCCUCAAAGUCUCCCUGCAUCUCAGAAGAACACCAAUGUCCAGAGCUCUGUGAUUCCUGUAUCACUGUGGAGCAUCUGCCAAGAAUGGACACCAGCAUCAGUAGACCAGGGAGAGACUGGUUCCCACACUUUAGUUCUGCACGCCCAAACAGUAAAACAACAUCCUAUCCCCUAAUGAGGUAUGUACAUAAUGAUAGAGGAUUCUCCACACAAACUUGAUUUACAAGAACAGGGCCUCUUUGGUAGCCACCCAAACCAUCUGAAAUCAGGCAAGAAGACGUGAGCAGUAGCCUUUGAUCCCUGUACCUCAAGACCAAAUAACACUCAUUCUGAUAGGAUACAUGAGCUGGUCCUCGUUUAUCUUCAUUCCCCAAUUCCUUCUAUCUCCUAUCCGCAUGAAGACCUUUCCUUCCCAUGCUCUGAUCGAAUCUUGUUCCGCAAUUCAUGGAACACAUUUGAAAGGUCGAUCUGAACUUCCAUGUCCUCAUUGUCCGUAUGGACCUUCAGGAUGGACAGUCUCUGGAAGAUCCUGUGACAGCUGCAGGAUGGGCUGAGCAGCUGUGUUUGUCCAUAUCUACGGCAGAAGCACUUGAGCCAAUAGACUACCUAACAGUGCCAUCCUGCCCUUAACAAUGAAGUGAGGAUUCCCCUGUCUCCAUGUGAACCAACCUGCCUACCUCAACACUGUGCUAAUGUCGCUGCGGGAACACUAAGGACAUGAGGACUAUGAGAGUAGGAUGCUGGGUGCAAAAAAACAAUGAGUUCCCUUUAAUACUGACUAAGAUGCUCAGGCCUCAAAGGAGGUGGACUGCAAGGGUGAGAGCUGAGGGUUCCUUCUGGAUAUGAGUCAACACCAGCAUGCAGGAAUCCACCAGGAUUGGACAGACGAUGCAUCUGACCGGAAGAGGGGAGUAGUAAGUUUCUGGCAUGCACGGAAAGAUCCCUCACUCUGUGUAAUUACCCAGGAAAUGAAAUAGUCUUGUCUAUGUGGACAUCGGUGCCCAAAUGAGAAAAAUAGUGUAUAUAUCCUGACCACUUAAAAGUCAUGCUUUUUCUGAGAGAACCUCUGAGCUCGAAAGACUGUGAAAUAGGAUGUCUGCCUGUACCAGAAUCUUUCCUGAGUGGAGAAUUUUAUCAGGAAGAAAGAGGCCCAGAGCAUGUACAUAUGUUGAACUCUUGAAGGGCACCCAGUUUGAAAGAGAACAUCAAAGGCCUGAAUCACUGUGAAACAUGCUGUCUGCAAGUACUAGAACACUUCCUGAGAGCAAGGGACACUGCCAAACCACUAGAGGCCAAAAGUUAUGAUGGAUAAAGAGACAGGUGUUCUGGUGACCUGUAAGCCCAUCAGGAGCCCCAAGGGUCACCUCCUGCUAAACCAAACAUAACCUUUAUCAGUGAAGGUCACUCCUGAGAAACCCUGUUGAGAAACCCUGCAGACAGGAAAGCCAAGGAGGCCUCCUCCUUCCCAUUGUCAUUGUCUUUUAAGGGAGCUUGAACAGGUUAGCUCCUACAGACUUCUUAAACUGCCUGGAACACUCUGCUAAUUCUGUUUCCUGUACUCUUCAACUGAGUCAAGAGAAGAAAACAGAUAUUUGGAACUCUGAUCCAAUCAAAUUAAUAUUCUGGUGAUCAGAAGCCAAGACUGUACAGAGAUUUCUGAGGCCUCUCCAGGAAUUCUGUCCAGAAUCCAGCUCUGGAGGACUUCAGUGUGCGAGAAUGUGAGUACGUUGGAUGGACUCUGGGGUCUAAGGAAUGAAGUUUGUCCUCAUUAGGACAAAAAGAUACAAGAGGAACGCCCGAGUACAUAUAGAACACAGGGUGCCAUGAUGUGGAGCCCGAAGACAAGGGAGGCUGCUGAACACUCUAAUGCCUGUAUGAGUGAAUUUCGACAUGAACAGUGUAGCUGGAUCUGUUUGCCUUCAGUUCAAGCUGCAAUGUUGUCACCAUCUCCUCUUAAAGCCCAUGUAUCCUUGACAAGGUUGUUCUGCCCUUCAAGCUCAUAUGAUGGUUGGGCAUGUAGGAGACCUAGCCUUCUGUCACCAAGGAAACAGAAAGCAGAGGAGGAAUGCGACUGUGGGAGGCUGCAGGCAAAAGUGAUGCGGGGCCAAAAAUGUACCUGGAAGCUACAUGGUACAAUCCCUGAGGCCCUGUUCAGUCCUUCAUUCUAUUCUGGUGUCUUCCUAGUGACAGCCCUGCUAGCGAAUGACAACUUCUCCCUGACUCUUCCCCAGCCUUGCUUCCCAGUCCUGAGACUUGAAGAGCACAGAGGAGGGCCUCUGUAGGUCAGUCACUGGCUCUGGACCAUUGACCACUACCACUGCUUUUACUUGGGAUGGUGUUCAAAUUGUGGGAUGUCUGAGAAAGCUGGGUUCCACGUUUUGCUAUGCAACCUGUUCCUCACAUCCUGGACUUUGCCGGCUCCAGUCCUCAGUUGCCAUUCAGUAAGCAUUGUGACGUGUAAGGCUCUCAGGAGAAGCCAGAUCCCAGUGGCAUUAGUGUGACAAACAAGCUGUGCCCAAGUUGCUGACACUCUGGCAGAGUCCAGGACAUCCAGGAAGACAGAGGUGGUGAGUGAAAUGAUGUUCUCCACGCAGAGCACAGACCCUGGGAGUGUUGGGUAUUGCUACCUGCCAAAGGCCUGAAGUGUGCACUACUGCUGUGCUGGUGGUGGGAUUGUCAGAAGAUGAGGAGGCCAUCCUGAUAGAGACAGUGUAGGAAUCCCAGAAACAACAGCCCAUGUUGCUGCAUGUGGCUAACCAUCGUUGAUUUUGCAUGUCAGUUUCUAAGCCGAUAUCACCAACUAUGACUCUGACAUCCAAUGAAGCAGUCGAGGGCCAUGAUGCUUUUCUGACUGAAGCAACACAGCCUGGAGCCCAAAUCCCGAGGCUGUGCACCAAAGUCUUUCCCUGUUUGUCACUGGUACUGCUGCUAUUGAUUUAAAAAUCUAGUUCAAUAUGGGAAAAAUACACUUUACAAUCUCCUGGAACAUUCUGUCUCAGAGAGGACCGUGUCUACACUUCAAAGGAAAGACCAGAUCCUGGUGCUUUCCCACAAGAAGUUGCUCAAUGUGGCUACCAGGCAGAACAAACAUAAGCCGGUGUCUGCAGACAGGAGGGCACCAACAAUGUGUCAAGCAACCUCAUUUGCAUCGUCACAAGCAUCUGCAGUAUGGAUAUAUGAUCAACAUGGUCGUUUGACAGUUGUGGAGCCCCUCCCACCAAUAAAGCUUUUGUAGGUGAAGAACCCGAAGGAUCUGAGGCUGUGCCAGUACAUGCUGGAGAAAUACUUGACUGGACUCGGGAGUAGGAGCCUAGGCAUUGGCCCACAGAUGUACUGUUCUCCUUUGGAUACCCGUCGCAACAACACAAUCUUCUCUGUCUACUGGAGUUGUCUUGGUUGUAGAUUUGGAGAUCCUCAAUCUCUCAGCUUAGUUCUCUAAUGUUAAGUCAUGUCGACUCUUAGCAUAGUACUUUAUUUGCCACUGUUCUUUCUACCUUUAUUUUUCCAGAAUUUUCUAUGGGUAAGUUAUUCCAUCUAUAACACUUUAUGAUGUGUAAGCCCACACGAGGGUACCCAAAGCCCAUACACAAUGUACUCUUAUUUACCUGAGAAGUCCAAGCCAGUAACCCCAAUCUUAACUCAGUGGUGAGAAGGAACUUAAAACUUAGAACAGGACUUGUUUUCAUUCCUUUCUUGUUAGUAUCAUUCACAACUUCUGUAGAAGUUGGGAGUCCAGAAAGCAAAGGGCGGGAUUUUCUCACAUGAUCUUGACCCAUGUUGGGUUUUCUGUCUUCCAUCUCCACCUUUAACAUUUAAUAUACCACAUCUCUCCAAAGGUCAUGCCUAUUCUAGUGUGCUGCACUCAGUGACGAAGUUGGAGCAAGUGUCAAAAGAGUGAAGGCCAAGCUCUGACUGUGACAGAGAGUUUGAGAUGGACAAAUGAUGCUUUGAAAAACACGUGACUUCUCGCUGGGACCUCCAUCUCCUGUAAAUAACCAACAACCUGUUCAAGGAUCAAUGUGCCUCUGACAUGAGGACAACAAGGUAGAAGGGAGUCCUCAGAAGGAAACGGGUCUGAGGGCUAACACCGUAAUGCUUCCAACUCUGUCUUCUAGGCAUCACUAACAAAUCUAUAUAGUCCUACCUCCCAGAAGAUGAGUGAAGGUGUUACAGUUAGGAUGAUUGUUGACAUGAGGCUCUCAGAGGUUCACCACAAAUCGGAAGGACAAGAUUGAGAUUGCCAUUCAUAUGGUCUUUCCAUAGUCUCCCCUUGCAAUCAGAAUUGACCAUCACUAUGGACCUCAUCUAUUAGAUGCAGGAUGUCUAGCAAGCCUCUGGACAGGCAGCAUGGCAGAAAUCAACUCUUUCAAAAAAAAAAAAAACAAAAAAAAAAGGCUGCUGAUGACACAGUGGAUAGAGCACACACAAGCUCCCUGUCAGACUCCCUCAACUCCUGCAUGUCUCCUUGGCUAACAUUUCAGAGCUUCUGAUCCUUCAGACAUCAGCUUCUUGAUACUGAAGAGAUUGUUCUACCUGAUGAGCCCAGGCCUAGAAGAUGGACUACAUCCAAGAAGCCUGGCCCAUCUAAGGCCAAGUCACAUCUUUAAGAAAUAUUUGAAAGCAUGUGUGCACAGGAUAAAGGUGCAAGGACCAAAGUCUCCUCAGACUUUCCAGCAUUCAGAGGUUCUGACAGACUCAGGUCAAAGGUUACGUCUGAAGCCUAGAUCAUGAAGAAGGCCCCACUCCACAGGAGAAGCCUGUGGCUGAUGCUGUUGCAACCAGGACUAUGAUUGUGAAACUUGUGUCUGUGGAUAACAGAUUCACGAAUCUUGUGCCCAGGUAUCCACAGGCCUUUUUUCAUACAUUCCUUGGUAUAACUUUGCAAGUCCUGACUUUGGAAGUGUUGGGUCCUUAUGCUAUCUCACUUGACAUAUAGUCCAAGAAAGAUUUUUACCCCUUGAAGGGGCUGGAAAUAGACUGGACUCACAGUUACCAUUAAAACUGAAGUUCUGUC
This is a non-coding RNA of Rattus norvegicus (Norway rat), 33374 nucleotides long. Lineage: Eukaryota; Metazoa; Chordata; Mammalia; Rodentia; Muridae. The record is from RefSeq and is a predicted model, not a curated record.